UAGGGAAUCUUCGGCAAUGGACGGAAGUCUGACCGAGCAACGCCGCGUGAGUGAAGAAGGUUUUCGGAUCGUAAAGCUCUGUUGUUAGAGAAGAACGUUGGUAGGAGUGGAAAAUCUACCAAGUGACGGUAACUAACCAGAAAGGGACGGCUAACUACGUGCCAGCAGCCGCGGUAAUACGUAGGUCCCGAGCGUUGUCCGGUUUUAUUGGGCGUAAAGCGAGCGCAGGCGGUUCUUUAAGUCUGAAGUUAAAGGCAGUGGCUUAACCAUUGUACGCUUUGGAAACUGGAGGACUUGAGUGCAGAAGGGGAGGGUGGAAUUCCAUGUGUAGCGGUGAAAUGCGUAGAUAUAUGGAGGAACACCGGUGGCGAAAGCGGCUCUCUGGUCUGUAACUGACGCUGAGGCUCGAAAGCGUGGGGAGCAAACAGG
This 429-nucleotide ribosomal RNA is filed under the name Bacillota bacterium. RNAcentral describes it as "Firmicutes bacterium partial 16S ribosomal RNA". It matches the Rfam family "Bacterial small subunit ribosomal RNA", at positions 355 to 776 of the family's 1533-position model. The record is from RNAcentral. Lineage: Bacteria; Bacillati; Bacillota.